CUGGUUGUGACCUCGAUGAAUAGGGCGGGACACGUGAUAUCCUGUCUGAAGAUGGGGGGACCAUCCUCCAAGGCUAAGCAUUCAUC
RNAcentral lists this ribosomal RNA (86 nucleotides) under Sodalis-like symbiont of Philaenus spumarius. Its description in RNAcentral is "partial 23S ribosomal RNA". The record is from RNAcentral. Lineage: Bacteria; Pseudomonadati; Pseudomonadota; Gammaproteobacteria; Enterobacterales; Bruguierivoracaceae.